CAGUCGCCGCGGGAAUACAGAGGGUGCGAGCGUUAAUCGGAUUUACUGGGCGUAAAGCGUGCGUAGGCGGCUUCUUAAGUCGGAUGUGAAAUCCCUGAGCUUAACUUAGGAAUUGCAUUCGAUACUGGGAAGCUAGAGUAUGGGAGAGGAUGGUAGAAUUCCAGGUGUAGCGGUGAAAUGCGUAGAGAUCUGGAGGAAUACCGAUGGCGAAGGCAGCCAUCUGGCCUAAUACUGACGCUGAGGUACGAAAGCAUGGGGAGCAAACAGGAUUAGAUACCCCCGUAGUCCCUGUCGCUUAUAC
Molecule: ribosomal RNA, 301 nt
Filed under: uncultured bacterium
Lineage: Bacteria
Description: partial 16S ribosomal RNA
Rfam family: Bacterial small subunit ribosomal RNA
Source: RNAcentral